This 468-nucleotide ribosomal RNA is filed under the name uncultured bacterium. Its description in RNAcentral is "partial 16S ribosomal RNA". It matches the Rfam family "Bacterial small subunit ribosomal RNA", at positions 28 to 507 of the family's 1533-position model. The record is from RNAcentral.
GAUGAACGCUGGCGGCGUGCUUAACACAUGCAAGUCGAACGGAAAGGCGCUGCUUUUGUUGGGUGUUCGUGUGGCGAGCGGGUGUGUAACACGUGAGUAUCCCCUCCCUGACAUUGGGAUAACUUCAGGAAACAGGGGAUAAUAUAGGAUAGGAGCUCUUGCUGCUCGGUGGGGGAUGGAAAGUUUCGGCGGUUGGGGAUGGACUCGCGGCUUAUUAGCUUGUUGGUGGGGUAGUGGCUUACCAAGGCUUUGACGGGUAGCCGGCCUGAGAGGGUGACCGGGCCCCAGGGGACUGAGGGACGGACCAGAACCCAACGGGGGGCAAGAGGGGGGAAAAUUUCGCAAUGGGCGCGAGCCUGAUACAGAGACGUUGCGUGCGGAAUAAGAGGUUUUUAGUUAUGAACAGCUUUCGCAGGUGACAAGGAGGGAGUGACGGUAACGAGUAAAGAAGCAACGGCUAACUACGUG